CGGGCUGUAGCGCAGUAGGUUAGCGCACUAGUCUGGGGGACUAGGGGUCGCCAGUUCAAGUCUGGCCAGCCCGA
This 74-nucleotide transfer RNA is filed under the name Spirochaetota bacterium. RNAcentral's name for it is "Spirochaetes bacterium tRNA-Pro". It matches the Rfam family "tRNA". Rfam says of the family: Transfer RNA (tRNA) molecules are approximately 80 nucleotides in length. Their secondary structure includes four short double-helical elements and three loops (D, anti-codon, and T loops). Further hydrogen bonds mediate the characteristic L-shaped molecular structure. tRNAs have two regions of fundamental functional importance: the anti-codon, which is responsible for specific mRNA codon recognition, and the 3' end, to which the tRNAs corresponding amino acid is attached (by aminoacyl-tRNA synthetases). tRNAs cope with the degeneracy of the genetic code in two manners: having more than one tRNA (with a specific anti-codon) for a particular amino acid; and 'wobble' base-pairing, i.e. permitting non-standard base-pairing at the 3rd anti-codon position. Lineage: Bacteria; Pseudomonadati; Spirochaetota. The record is from RNAcentral.